This is a long non-coding RNA of Bos taurus (domestic cattle), 708 nucleotides long. The record is from Ensembl. Lineage: Eukaryota; Metazoa; Chordata; Mammalia; Artiodactyla; Bovidae.
CACCUAUAUAUGCCAGGCCCCUCGCCAAGCGCUGGAAACACAAGGUCCAGCUCUGGAGUGUGGAGUCCAGUGAAGAGACAGCGGCACAGAAGGCAGAGGGCUUGUAUCCCUCGCGGGCUGCAGGUGUCAGACGCAGCCCACCUGUGAGGAGUUCAGCGCAGUUUUCAACCCGAUAAGUUCCCCAACCAGGGAUCAAACCGACGCCCCUGCAUUGGAAGCAUGGAGUCUUAACCACAGGACCGUCAGGGAGGUCCCCCAUACAGCUUUUCGCCAAGUAUUUGGCACAGAUGAAAACACAAGGCAAGCUAUGCUUUGGUGACGAGCCAAGGAAAAUAUCCACUGAAUACAAACCAGGCUCCCAGAACAUGCCCAGCGAAGUGCACAGGAAACACUCUGUCCUCCGCGAGCGAGCGCUGAAGGCGGCCUCUCCUCUCUGCUUCCUCGAGGCCCCAGCCGCAGGUUGCCACAGAGCAGCCGCCCUGGGUGUCGGGUCACCCAUCCAACUCCACGGGCAGGUGCUGUCUGAGCCUGGGCGCCGUGUGUGCAGACAGCGGCAGCGCGCCCACCCGCCUGCGCCCCUCACCGCGGAGGCUGAGCUUCGGCACCUGGACGCCGGGGCCCCGCCGUCAGAGAGCGGCUCCAUCCGGACCCCAGCGGCCUGGCCCAGGCCCUGCGGGUGUGAGUGGAGUCCUCGGGCCUCUGCGAGUC